This 497-nucleotide ribosomal RNA is filed under the name uncultured bacterium. RNAcentral describes it as "partial 16S ribosomal RNA". It matches the Rfam family "Bacterial small subunit ribosomal RNA", at positions 28 to 507 of the family's 1533-position model. The record is from RNAcentral.
GACGAACGCUGGCGGCGUGCCUAAUACAUGCAAGUUGAGCGCUGAAGGUUGGUACUUGUACCAACUGGAUGAGCAGCGAACGGGUGAGUAACGCGUGGGGAAUCUGCCUUUGAGCGGGGGACAACAUUUGGAAACGAAUGCUAAUACCGCAUAAAAACUUUAAACACAAGUUUUAAGUUUGAAAGAUGCAAUUGCAUCACUCAAAGAUGAUCCCGCGUUGUAUUAGCUAGUUGGUGAGGUAAAGGCUCACCAAGGCGAUGAUACAUAGCCGACCUGAGAGGGUGAUCGGCCACAUUGGGACUGGGACACGGCCCAAACUCCUACGGGAGGCAGCAGUAGGGGAUCUUCGGCAAUGGACGAAAGUCUGACCGAGCAACGCCGCGUGAGUGAAGAAGGUUUUCGGAUCGUAAAACUCUGUUGGUAGAGAAGAACGUUGGUGAGAGUGGAAAGCUCAUCAAGUGACGGUAACUACCCAGAAAGGGACGGCUAACUACGUG